ACUGGAUUUCCCAAACAACUUUUUAAAUUAAACGAUUUACAUAAAUUUAUACAAAUUUAUCCUGUUGCAGGACACCAGAUACAUUGGAUAUAUGUUGUAAUCUAAAGGCCCAUGCGGCCAUGUAUGAUAUUAAUUAUGCACUAGACAUAUAUAUUUUGCAUACUUGUGUAAAACUAAGAAAUCUAAAGAUCACUUUCUAAUGGGACUUUUUAGAUAAGUUCUAGAUUAUUAUAAAUGAUAUAGAGCAAAUUAACCCACUUCAUGAACCAUAUAGAAUAAUAAC
Molecule: long non-coding RNA, 283 nt
Filed under: Elaeis guineensis (African oil palm)
Lineage: Eukaryota; Viridiplantae; Streptophyta; Magnoliopsida; Arecales; Arecaceae
Description: long non-coding RNA (EGUI_LNC021353)
Source: RNAcentral